This 326-nucleotide ribosomal RNA is filed under the name uncultured eukaryote. RNAcentral's name for it is "partial 18S ribosomal RNA". It matches the Rfam family "Eukaryotic small subunit ribosomal RNA", at positions 1470 to 1796 of the family's 1831-position model. The record is from RNAcentral.
CCCUUAGAUGUUCUGGGCCGCACGCGCGCUACACUGACGAAGUCAGCGAGCAUGUCCUACGCCGACAGGUGCGGGGAAUCUUGUCAAACUUCGUCGUGAUGGGGAUUGAUUAUUGAAAUUCUUGAUCAUCAACGAGGAAUUCCUAGUAAGCGCAAGUCAGCAGCUUGCGUUGAUUACGUCCCUGCCCUUUGUACACACCGCCCGUCGCUACUACCGAUUGGGUGUGCUGGUGAAAUGUUCGGAUCGGCCGUUUGUCGCGGUUUCCGCGUCAUGUGGCUGAGAAGUUCAUUAAACCCUCCCACCUAGAGGAAGGAGAAGUCGUAACA